This 2417-nucleotide long non-coding RNA is filed under the name Amborella trichopoda. RNAcentral describes it as "long non-coding RNA (ATRI_LNC001165)". The record is from RNAcentral. Lineage: Eukaryota; Viridiplantae; Streptophyta; Magnoliopsida; Amborellales; Amborellaceae.
UAUAUACGAUAUGUAUAUACUGAUAUGCUUAUGCAUGUAUGUAUAAACUUGCUAUCAAUUAUAUAUACACUGAUAUGCGCAUGCACAUGCAGCUUUACGCAUUGAUAGGACAUAUAUACAUUUUUAUGUACGCUGAUAAAGAUCAUAUAUAUACUUUUUAAUAGUUUCCACAGUUAUUAGCGUAUAUGUACAUUGAUAUGCAUAUGAAUGCACAGGUGGCUGUUGCAGCCAAUAAGGUAAAUGAACAUAUCCCCCCCCUUCUUUUUUGAUUAUUUUCCUCUCAAAUCUUUCCAUUCGAAUCAUUAUCUUCCAUGUGAAUGAUUUUUCCUUAUACAAUUUUCCAAACUGUGAUAAAUUCAGGCCUUAAAGAAGAAGAUUAUUUCUUUUGGCUAUCACCUCUAAUCAGAUAAGCCCAGGCGAAAUUUGAUAUUGCUUUGUAUAGAAUUAAGCAUAAAAAUGGGUUUCUUCUCUUGAUGAAUUGGGUAUGCUAAAUACCCAAUUGUGAUAGUCCAUAUAAAUUUUUCAUCGUAUUUGUACUUGUUUUUAUUAUUAUUGAUGAGCUUCAUCUUCAUCAAGUUUGCUUGUAAAGCAACAAGCAUGAAAGCAACUUAUCAUCGAGGCGGAUCUCUUUACGUUAUUCGAUAUUUGAGAUCUUGAUCUUGCAAGCUUGAUUUGAUUAAUGGUUCUUUCUUCUCUAGUAUAAUACUUCUCUUGCUUCUUUCAUGCAAAAAUGGAGUGAAUUUUUUGAAACUUUACUUGUGGUUUGCAAUUUUUUUAAGUAACUUUUUCUUAACACACACACUCUUGCUUCUUUCAUGCAAAUAUGUAAUGAAUUUUCUGGUGUAUUACUUGUGGUUUGCAAUUUCAUUAAGUAACUUUUUCUUAACACACACACAUACACACACCACAUACACACACUCUCUCACACACACACACUCACACUCACACACACUCAUACACUCACACACGCUCACGCUCACACACUCACGCUCAUGCUCACACUCACACACUCACACACUCACACUCACACCCACACACACACUCUCACACCCACACACACAAGCACACACAUUAACAUGCACUCACACUUACACUCACUCUUAGAUAUAUAGUACACUUAUAUGCGUGUUGUGUAUGGACUGAUGUGUGUAUAUACGAUCAUAUAUUUAUACGUGUAUGUAUACAAAUUAUAUACAAUUGUCAAUGUAUGUAUACAUUGAUAUGUGCAUGCACAUGCACCCUUACGUGUUGAUAAGUGCAUAUAUACUGUGUAUGUUCACUAAUAUAUGCAUACUAUAUACACUGAUAUAUAUAUAUAUCCAUAUAGACACUUAUUAGCACUUUACAUAUAUAUACAGUGUGCAUAUUUAUGAUAUGUAUAUACUGAUAUGUUUAUGAGUGUAUCUAAAGAUACCCUAUGAGUUAUAUAUACAAUGAUAUCCGCACGCACAUGCACCCUUACGCAUUGAUAAUGCAUAUACAUUUAUAUAUACACUGAUAUAUAUGACCAUAUGGACACUUCUCAUCAGUUUAUACCAAUGGUUUAAAAAGCGGAUCGGUGACCCGGAUCGGGCGCCCAAAAACCGAUCCGGAUCGGCGAAUCGGUGAUCCGGAACGAGAAUCGGGUGAAUCGGUCAGAAUAACGCUUCAAAAAAAUCAGAAAAAAUUAUUAAAAUUCAUUAUAAAUAUUUUUUUUAGGAAUUAAAUAAGAAAUGAGGGUACUCCAUUAAGAAUUUUCAUGUUUUUAUAUGAAUAUGCGAAUAUUUAUAUGUUCUUUCCCUGCAUGAACUACUAUUCAGCAUUUAAUUUACAUCACACAAAAGGAUAAACAUAGAAUUAUCAUGGAAUAAGUAUAUCAAUAUACAUGGACUACAAUAAGGCAUAAAAUUAGUAACAUUUGAUCUAAAAGUAAAAUGAUAGACGACGUUGUUGUUCUUCUUGGUCACGCUGGUGCCAUUGAUUGAAUUAGUUUGACAAUUCAUUGAUUCGAUCUAAAAAUGACUCAUCGAUAUUAGCAAGCUUCUGACUAUUCCCAAAUCCCUGAGUGUUAGUGUUUUGUUGUGUUCCCAAUCCAAAAUCCCUGAAGCUUGUCCAUCCUUCAUGCUCACCUGCGCUGUCAUGCUCAUCCCUACACUAUUGUUGUUGGGACUCGAUAUGUGAAUAAUAUGACUGGGAUAGGGUGGCCUCAAAAUCAUCAUCUCUCUCAUUUUCUCUUAGCCCCCUUCCCACUCUCCCUCAUUAGGUGUAAUAUCACCGACAUCUCCGACGAAUUGUGGAUACGUUGGCUAGCUGCUUCCUCUUUCAUGCUGCUCAUUACUUUCUUCAAGAUUUUCAUCACCGAUAGCCUCAAGGAACGCUCUCUUGUGCAACACUGGCUCCUCCUCUUCUACUACCUAUUGGUCUACUGUGUCUGUGAC